AUUUCAGAACAUUUCUAAUAUUUUUCCAUGUAAAGGAUUUACAAAAACUGACCUAUUCCUGGAAACAAUCUUGGCUUUAGCCAAUCAGGUUUUAACAGUGAGUUAUUCAGGAUGAUGAUAAUCUUUUUGUGGAGAUCAAGGACAGAAGAUACUGCAGUGCAACUCUGUUAUGGAGGUUACAUUGUCAUGACUCAACUAAUCAAACAAAAAUACCUGUCAAACUGGCUGGAGCUGCUCUGUUUUCAGACUCAAGCAACAAUAGUUGUUAAAGCCAGCUCUUCUGAGGUACAGCGGAAAGGCAGCUGA
This 306-nucleotide long non-coding RNA is filed under the name Coturnix japonica (Japanese quail). RNAcentral describes it as "lncRNA (ENSCJPG00005008797.1)". The record is from RNAcentral. Lineage: Eukaryota; Metazoa; Chordata; Aves; Galliformes; Phasianidae.